Molecule: transfer RNA, 58 nt
Filed under: Rikenellaceae bacterium
Lineage: Bacteria; Pseudomonadati; Bacteroidota; Bacteroidia; Bacteroidales; Rikenellaceae
Description: tRNA-Ser
Source: RNAcentral
UGGCUAGAGCGCUUGCAUGGCAUGCACGAGGUCGUCGGUUCGACUCCGACAUGGUCCA